CAGUCGCCGCGGUAAUACGAAGGGUGCAAGCGUUAAUCGGAAUUACUGGGCGUAAAGGGCGUGUAGGCGGCCUGGGGCGUCCCAUGUGAAAGGCCACGGCUCAACCGUGGAGGAGCGUGGGAUACGCUCAGGCUAGAGGGUGGGAGAGGGUGGUGGAAUUCCCGGAGUAGCGGUGAAAUGCGCAGAUACCGGGAGGAACGCCGAUGGCGAAGGCAGCCACCUGGUCCACUUCUGACGCUGAGGCGCGAAAGCGUGGGGAGCAAACCGGAUUAGAUACCCCAGUAGUCCCUGUCUCUUAUAC
RNAcentral lists this ribosomal RNA (301 nucleotides) under uncultured bacterium. RNAcentral's name for it is "partial 16S ribosomal RNA". It matches the Rfam family "Bacterial small subunit ribosomal RNA", at positions 509 to 807 of the family's 1533-position model. The record is from RNAcentral.